AUUCGCUUAUCUGAUGUUGAAGUCGCCGCCGCUAUGAUACGAAAAUGACACCGCUUCUCUUUUACUUAUUUAUAAUUGCUACAAAUCGAUUCUUCUCGUCCGUACAUAGUUUUUCGGCUGUUCGAAUUUGCUCGAAGGCUAUCGGAUUAACCGGAAGACAAAGGAGCAUUUGUAGUUCCAGACCGGAUGCCAUGAUUGCCAUAAUCGAAGGUGAAGAAUUGGCAAAGGAAGAGUGCCGAUAUCAAUUUCGUAAUCAUAGAUGGAAUUGUGCUAGAUUUCCCCCAGGAGUCGAAUUAUUCCCAAAAAAUUACACCGGUAUGUGUAAUAUAUUAAUAGUUUGCUAUUUAAAUAAAGAAUUAUUUAAAUAUUUAUAUCUAAUGCUAUUUUAAAGUUGAAUAUUAAAGGUGUGUAUUAAAUUAAAUAUGCUGUAUAUUUCUCCCCUCCUCAUAGAAAAAGGUGUAUAGUAUAUCAAUCAGUAGAUCUAUUGUGUCAAUGUUGUUGUUAUUUUUGCCUGAUUUGUCGCAAAUCGCUUAUAUUUAUACUAUAUAAGCUUAUUUUCAGACAACAAGACUCAUAGGAAUUUUUCUAAGAGUCAUAGAGGUGAGUUAAAAUAAACUAACCGACUUUCUCCUCCUAUUCCUACUCCGCCGCCUGCCUUUCUUUUCAAACUCAUUUAUUCUCCUUUCUCCUUUUUCAUAACCAACCUUUCCUCCACCCCCCACUACGCUCUCUCUCUCUCUUUCUCUCUUUCUCUUCUUUCUCUCUCUCUCUUUCUACUACUUUCUUUCCCCCCCUUUCUAUCUGACUAUUUAUCUUUCUAUCUAUCCCGCUUAUUCUGUCUCUCUUUUCAUGAAAUGUUAAUUCUCCUAUAAUCCUUCUAGUUAUUCAGUUGAGUAAUGAAAGAAUUCAAUCUUGAGGCUUAUAAGUUAAUAUAGGUAGUGUAAAAAUUAUCAGUUAUGACUCCUCUUAUACAAAUAAGCAGAAGAUUGUUUUUGAAAGAAAAAUGCCGUAAGGCAAAUUGAUAGAAAUAAUAAAUGGGUGAAUAUAUGACUAACAGCUACGAGGGAGGUAGCAGCAGUUUACGGAAUGAGGUCAUCAGCUGUAGCAUUUUCAAUAGCGAAACAUUGCAGUCAGGGACAUAUUCCGAAUUGCAGUUGCGAUAGAAAGCGAAGAGCUGACGACUGGUCAUGGAGUGGAUGUUCACCAAAUUUAAGAUAUUCCCUUGGACUUACAAAGAUUUUCGUCGAUUCCAAAGAGAGGCCGGGUAGUAACAGAGAGAAAGUUAUGAAUAUUCAUAAUAACGCCGUAGGAAGAAAGAUAAUGCGUAAAAGCAUGGAAACCAAAUGUAAAUGUCAUGGAACUUCCGGUUCGUGCGCUAAGAAAACUUGCUGGAAAUCGUUGCCGACUUUUAGACAAGUUGGUAAAAAAGUAUAUAAACACUACAAAAAAGCUAGGCCAGUGUCGACAUCUAACGGUAGGAUGAGAUUAAGAAGAUCAGAAAUUCAAAGAAAUAAAGUAUUGAGAAAGCAUUUAAUCUACUUAAGUAAAUCACCUUCUUAUUGCGAAGCUGAUGAGAGAGAAGGUUUUGAAGGAACAAGAAGAAGAAGAUGCUCUUUAAAGGGACCCGCAAGUUGCCGACGUUUAUGCUGCGAGCGUGGAUUUACUCUACAAGUUUUUAAUCAAACUGAAAAGUGCCAUUGUAAAUUCCAAUGGUGCUGCAAGCUUGUUUGUCAGACCUGCUAUAAUACUGUUAAGGAAAGAUUGUGUAAUUGAUAAAGUUUAACUCUGUUUUUUUUUUUAAAAAAAUGUAAAAUACGAAGAAAAAAGUUUUAUAUUUCUCUUCAUAUUUUACGUAUAAAGAGUAACUAUGUUUUUUUAAUAACCUCAUUUAAUAGAUCAAACAGUGAGAGAGCGAAAGAGCGAAAGAGAGAGAGAGAGAGAGAGAGAGAGAGAGAGA
This 1957-nucleotide unclassified non-coding RNA is filed under the name Dimorphilus gyrociliatus. RNAcentral's name for it is "protein Wnt". Lineage: Eukaryota; Metazoa; Annelida; Polychaeta; Dinophilidae. The record is from RNAcentral.